GUGCUCACUUCAGUAGCACACAUAUUAAAACUGAAAUAAUACAGAGAAUAGUAUGGCUCCUGAGCAAAGAUGACAUGCAAAUUGAUAAAGCAUUUCAUAAUCUU
This is a small nuclear RNA of Perognathus longimembris pacificus (Pacific pocket mouse), 104 nucleotides long. The record is from RefSeq and is a predicted model, not a curated record. Lineage: Eukaryota; Metazoa; Chordata; Mammalia; Rodentia; Heteromyidae.